This 492-nucleotide ribosomal RNA is filed under the name uncultured bacterium. RNAcentral's name for it is "partial 16S ribosomal RNA". It matches the Rfam family "Bacterial small subunit ribosomal RNA", at positions 29 to 507 of the family's 1533-position model. The record is from RNAcentral.
AGUGAACGCUGGCGGUAGGCCUAACACAUGCAAGUCGAACGGCAGCACAGUAAGAGCUUGCUCUUACGGGUUGCGAGUGGCGGACGGGUGAGGAAUACAUCGGAAUCUACUUUUUCUUGGGUGAUAACGUAGGGAAACUUACGCUAAUACCGCAUACGACCUACGGGUGAAAGCAGGGGAUCUUCGGACCUUGCGCGAUUGAAUGAGCCGAUGUCGGAUUAGCUAGUUGGCGGGGUAAAGGCCCACCAAGGCGACGAUCCGUAGCUGGUCUGAGAGGAUGAUCAGCCAGACUGGAACUGAGACAGGGUGCAGACUCCGACGGUAGGAAGCAGUGGGGAAUAUUGGAGAAUGGGGGCAAGCCUGAUACAGCAAUACCGCGUGAGUGAAGAAGGACUUCGGGUUGUAAAGCCAUUUUGUUGGGAAAGAAAAGCAGCAGGAUAAGAACCCGAUGUUCUGACGGUACCCAAAGAAUAAGCACCGGCUAACUUCGUG